UGGUUUUAUGUUUUAUAAUGUUUUUUAGUUGUAUGGUUUGAUAAAGCAAUUUCCUCGGGGUUAAAUAACAUCCGUUGGGUUUUCUUCAUGUGAAGUUUAUCAGUUUAUCUAGGUUUCGUUUAGCCUGUUUGACUCGCGACCCACGUGACUACACAACGACCCAUGAAGAGAUGCCACGUUCAUAUGCAAAUCAGUACUAGGAUACUCGGAAAUGUCCGACUUGUUAACUGGUUGAGAGCGGCACAUGUAUACAUACAACCAAGUCUGAAAUUUCCGAGUUUCCAAGUUCUGACUUGCUCCUGAACGCGGCAUGAGGCACAAGAGUUUCAAAAACCAGAGACGCAACAUUGCGAGGCUUCGUGGAACGUUUACCUAAAAUUGCAACAAAAAAAAAUCUAAACACAUUCCCAUGACUGUCAUAUAAGGUCCAAUGAGCUAGUCUAUGCCUACUGUGACCAGAGACAAUACGGGAGUGCCUGAGAUGAGGUCUGGAAAGUGAAACUUAAGGAAAGGGAUAGCCUCACUUAGCCAGUCCCAUGACUGCUGAGUCAUCACAUCCUAGACAGAGCACACCAUGGGUGUCCAGGGAUUUCCCAGUGCUGCAGAACAGAUGCAGCUAGACACCCUGCAUCAGGCUCCAAAGUCAGUGCAGGUAUUUUUGGAGACACUUGGUGUGUCCCUGUCCACUUUGAGCGGUGUCCCGCCUCAUCUGCGUCUUCCUGUGGCUGUCACCUGCUACUGAGGUGAGCUGAGGCACGCCCAUCCCACCCGGACCUGCCGGAGUGCUCUGCAGACAGAGGAAGAGCCAAAGCGGUUUAUGGAGGGACCAGUGUUGGAGAGGCUGAGAGGGCUGAUUCAGAGAGGUAGAAGGAGCCUCAACCUGUGUGUGGCCCACACCUACAGCCAGUGGCAGUGCUACCUGAAAGAAUGCCUUGACCUGAACCAACUGCUGUGCCUCCGGAGCCUCAGUGUGCCUGGCUGUACAAUGGCACUCUGGUGCACCAUGUUGUGAUCGAACUGAGAGGGGGCUUGACCCCAAAUGUUCUCCUAAUGGGAGGCCCUUGCUCUGGGCAGCUGUAUAGGGCCAUGCUGGGAGCCAUACUCAACUCCCAUGAUGCCGCUGUCAUCCCCUUGGUGUCUGGGCCGCAGAGGGCCACACCUCCAUCCUUGACACAGCCACUGAACGAUCUGACGGCCCAUCUACGCAUUCUGGCUCUGGAAUAUGAUGAUGAUGAUGGUGCUGGAGGUGGGAGCAAGGCCAAGCCAGAGGACGAUCUGGGUUGGACUUUGGUCUCAGUGCGGACCCGGCACAAGAGCAAGGACAGAUUCAACCGAGCUCGGAAUCCAGAAUUCUCCCGGAAGCAGGGGCGGACCGGCUGGGAGUAGGGAGGGACCAUUAUAUAACUGUUUAUAUAUAGAGACGUUCUGCUCAACUCUUUCAUGUUUUUAUUGUUCUUGUGUACCUAUGACUUCAUUUACAUCUGUAUUUAGAAUUAACUAGCAUUAACCAUAAAAUAAGUUUAUGAAAGAUAGAUGUAGAUUUUAUAAAUGUUUAAAGACAUUAAAGUUUGUAAUAUAUAAUAUAAGUUUGUAAUAUAAUAUUUAAAAAAAUAUAUAAAAACGUUUGAC
This is a long non-coding RNA of Oncorhynchus keta (chum salmon), 1629 nucleotides long. RefSeq lists it as uncharacterized. The record is from RefSeq and is a predicted model, not a curated record. The transcript has 4 exons. Lineage: Eukaryota; Metazoa; Chordata; Actinopteri; Salmoniformes; Salmonidae.